AUUGAACGCUGGCGGCAGGCCUAACACAUGCAAGUCGAACGAGUGGCGGACGGGUGAGUAAUGUCUGGGAAACUGCCUGAUGGAGGGGGAUAACUACUGGAAACGGUAGCUAAUACCGCAUACCAUCGGAUGUGCCCAGAUGGGAUUAGCUAGUAGGUGGGGUAACGGCUCACCGAGGCGACGCUCCCUAGCUGGUCUGAGAGGAUGACCAGCCACACUGGAACUGAGAGACGGUCCGGACUCCGACAGGAGGCAGCAGUGUGAAAUAUUGCACAAGGUGCGCAAGCCUGAUGCAGCCAUGCCGCGUGUAUGAAGAAGGCCUUCGGGUUGUAAAGAACUUUCAGCGUGGAGGCGUUACCCGCAGAAGAAGCACCGGCUAACUCAGUGCCAGCAGCCGCGGUAAUAC
RNAcentral lists this ribosomal RNA (406 nucleotides) under uncultured bacterium. RNAcentral describes it as "partial 16S ribosomal RNA". It matches the Rfam family "Bacterial small subunit ribosomal RNA", at positions 30 to 526 of the family's 1533-position model. The record is from RNAcentral.